This 459-nucleotide ribosomal RNA is filed under the name uncultured bacterium. RNAcentral describes it as "partial 16S ribosomal RNA". It matches the Rfam family "Bacterial small subunit ribosomal RNA", at positions 338 to 795 of the family's 1533-position model. The record is from RNAcentral.
CCUACGGGUGGCCGCAGUGAGGAAUAUUGGUCAAUGGCCGAGAGGCUGAACCAGCCAAGUCGCGUGAGGGAAGACGGCCCUACGGGUUGUAAACCUCUUUUGUCGUGGAGCAAAGCGAACCACGUGUGGUUCCUUGAGCGUACCCGAAGAAAACGCAUCGGCUAACUCCGUGCCAGCAGCCGCGGUAAUACGGAGGAUGCGCGUGUUAUCCGGAUUUAUUGUGUUUAAAGGGUUCUCAGGCGGAGGUGCAAGUCAGCGGGAAAAUUGCGGGGAUAAACCCCGUACUGCCGUUGAAACUGCAUCCCUUGAGUGCGCGAGAAGUAUGCGGAAUGCGUGGUGUAGCGGUGAAAGGCAUAGAUAUCACGCAGAACUCCGAUUGCGAAGGCAGCAGACCGGCGCGCAACUGACGCUCAUGCACGAAAGCGUGGGUAUCGAACAGGAUUAGAUACCCUGGUAGUC